GAUUUCUGAUUAGUCGCCCUGGCCCGCUGGCUUAUGUCUGUGAGUGCUGGUGCGUACUAGUCAUCCUUCUAGCUUGCCAUGCGUACCGUUUAUUCGGCCGCGCGUGUGUGAACUAGAUCUUUUACUUUGAAAAAAUUAGAGUGUUUAAAGCAGGCUUACGCCGUGAAUACAUUAGCAUGGAAUAAUAAUAUAGGACUUUGGUUCUAUUUUGUUGGUUUCUAGGACUGAAGUAAUGAUUGAUAGGGAUAGUUGGGGGUGCUAGUAUUCAGCGGCCAGAGGUGAAAUUCUUGGAUUCGCUGAAGACUAACUACUGCGAAAGCAUU
This 323-nucleotide ribosomal RNA is filed under the name uncultured Euglyphida. Its description in RNAcentral is "SSU rRNA". The stretch from base 108 to 323 matches the Rfam family "Eukaryotic small subunit ribosomal RNA", at positions 738 to 955 of the family's 1831-position model. The record is from RNAcentral. Lineage: Eukaryota; Cercozoa; Imbricatea; Euglyphida.